Molecule: transfer RNA, 73 nt
Filed under: Stenodactylus slevini
Lineage: Eukaryota; Metazoa; Chordata; Lepidosauria; Squamata; Gekkonidae
Description: tRNA-Asn
Source: RNAcentral
CAGAUUUAAGUCCGCUGGAGAGGGCGUCUAGUUGUUAAUUAGAUAUUUCCAGGAUCGGGUCCUGGUGGCCUAG